GAAAUGCGAUAAGUAAUGUGAAUUGCAGAAUUCAGUGAAUCAUCGAAUCUUUGAACGCACCUUGCGCCCCCUGGCAUUCCGGGGGGCAUGCCUGUCCGAGCGUCAUUGCUGCCCUUCAAGCCCGGCUUGUGUGUUGGGUCGUCGUCCCCUCCGGGGGACGGGCCCGAAAGGCAGCGGCGGCACCGCGUCCGGUCCUCGAGCGUAUGGGGCUUUGUCACCCGCUCGAUAAGGACCGGCCGGGCGCCAGCCGGCGUCUCCAACCUUUUUUUCUCAGGUUGACCUCGGAUCAGGUAGGGAUACCCGCUGAACUUAAGC
RNAcentral lists this unclassified non-coding RNA (315 nucleotides) under plant metagenome. Its description in RNAcentral is "partial contains 5.8S ribosomal RNA, internal transcribed spacer 2, and large subunit ribosomal RNA". The stretch from base 1 to 105 matches the Rfam family "5.8S ribosomal RNA", at positions 50 to 154 of the family's 154-position model. The record is from RNAcentral.